RNAcentral lists this ribosomal RNA (316 nucleotides) under uncultured bacterium. RNAcentral describes it as "bacterial SSU rRNA". It matches the Rfam family "Bacterial small subunit ribosomal RNA", at positions 663 to 975 of the family's 1533-position model. The record is from RNAcentral.
GGAAUUCCGGGUGUAGCGGUGAAAUGUGUAGAGAUCCGGAGGAACACCAGUGGUGCAGACGGCGUCCUGGGUCUGAACUGACGCUGAGGCGCGAAAGCGUAGGGAGCGAACGGGAUUAGAGACCCCGGUAGUCUACGCUGUAAACGAUGUCGACUAGAUGUCCACUUAGCUACGGCUAAGGGGGUGUCGAAGCCAACGCGGUAAGUCGACCGCCUGGGGAGUACGGUCGCAAGGCUAAAACUCAAAGGAAUUGACGGGGGCCCGCACAAGCAGCGGAGCGUGUGGUUUAAUUCGAGGCUACACGAAGAACCUUACC